RNAcentral lists this ribosomal RNA (497 nucleotides) under uncultured bacterium. RNAcentral describes it as "partial 16S ribosomal RNA". It matches the Rfam family "Bacterial small subunit ribosomal RNA", at positions 28 to 507 of the family's 1533-position model. The record is from RNAcentral.
GACGAACGCUGGCGGCGUGCCUAAUACAUGCAAGUAGAACGCUGAAGAGAGGAGCUUGCUCUUCUUGGAUGAGUUGCGAACGGGUGAGUAACGCGUAGGUAACCUGCCUUGUAGCGGGGGAUAACUAUUGGAAACGAUAGCUAAUACCGCAUAACAAUGGAUUACACAUGUCAUUUAUUUGAAAGGGGCAUUUGCUCCACUACAAGAUGGACCUGCGUUGUAUUAGCUAGUAGGUGAGGUAAUGGCUCACCUAGGCGACGAUACAUAGCCGACCUGAGAGGGUGAUCGGCCAAACUGGGAAUGAGACAAGGCCCAGAAUCCUACGGGAGGCAGCAGUAGGGAAUCUUCGGCAAUGGGGGCAAACCUGACCGAGCAACGCCGAGUGAGUGAAGAAGGUUGUCGGAUCGUAAAGCUCUGUUGUAAGUCAAGAACGGGUGUGAGAGUGGAAAGUUCACACUGUGACGGUAGCUUACCAGAAAGGGACGGCUAACUACGUG